CAGCGUAUAGCCAAGGGCCAUGGCUGUUUGUAGCCAUGGGAUCUCCCACUGUAGGCCAGAGUAACUGGGGAGACUUGGACAGCUCAGGUCAGCACAGUGUCUGGGGCUGCCACCCAGCUUUCCUAUACAU
Molecule: small nucleolar RNA, 130 nt
Organism: Rattus norvegicus (Norway rat)
Lineage: Eukaryota; Metazoa; Chordata; Mammalia; Rodentia; Muridae
Product: small nucleolar RNA SNORA44
Source: Ensembl